AUGAAGACAAGCCUGGCUGGGACUGCUGGAGGACUGGAAACAGUGCUCAUAGCCAUGCAGUUGUCCCAGCCAACGGCCAAGCAACCCCAGAAACAUCACUGCUUGGCUGACCUACAGCUGACUGCAGAUACAGAAGAGGGCCAAGAUGAAACCCAAAUUGCCCAACUGAUUCCAGCCCGAAUUAUAAACUGGUCAAAGCCACUAAAUUUUGGACUCACUGGCCACACUUGGCCUGCCCCUCCGUCGCGUUCGCGGGGCGCUCCUGCCCACUCAGGCCCUGAGCGCGGGGACGCGCCGCGUUGCCGUAGAAAAGCCCGAGCCAGUGCGGCGGCACGCGGGGCGGGCUCUCAGGUUCCAGGAGGCGGUGGCUCGCGCCCUAACGCAUGCUCGGGCGCCUCUGAGCCCAGGUCGUUGGGCCCAGAUCGGGGUCUCUGGCCGUGCGCAAGGGACGCUCAAACCAGACAACUGCAAGAUGCUGUCACAAAUGUGGAGAAGCAUUUCGGAGAGCUGCGCCAAAUCUUUGCUGCGUAUGUGCGGAAAAUUGCCAGACUGCGAGACAAAGCUGACCUACUGGUGAAUGAAAUCAAUGUGUAUGCCUCUACAGAGACCCCAAAUUUAAAACAGGGCCUGAAAAACUUUGCUGAUGAGUUUGCCAAACUUCAGGAUUAUCGACAAGCAGAGUUAUAUUUUAUAAUAAUUUUCAAUAGGUUGAAAGACUUGAAGCCAAAGUAGUUGAACCUUUGAAAGCUUAUGGAACCACUGUAAAAAUGAAACGAGAUGACCUCAAAGCAACAUUAACAGCAAGGAGUCGAGAAGCUAAACAGUUAACUCAGAAAGAACACGUCAGGGAAACCCAUCUGAUCGACAUGUUAUAACCCAGGCAGAAACUGAAUUGCAGAGAGCUACAAUGGAUGCUACCCAAACAACUCGUCAUCUGGAGGAAACUAUUGACAAUUUUGAAAAGCAGAAAAUAAAGGAUAUAAAGACUAUAUUUUCAGAAUUUAUCACUAUUGAAAUGUUAUUUCAUGGCAAAGCUUUAGAGGUCUACACUGCUGCCUACCAAAACAUACAAAAGAUUGAUGAAGAAGAUUUGGAGGUGUUCCGAAAUUCUCUGUAUCCACCAGAUUAUGCAUCCCGUUUAGAUAUCGUAAGAGCAAAUUCAAAGUCGCCUCUUCAAAGAUCACUCUCAGCUAAGUGUAUAUCUGGAACAGGACAGGUAUCCACCUGUCGACUAAGAAAGGAUCAACAGGCAGAAGAUGAUGAUGAAGAGGAUGAAGACUUAGAUGUUACAGAAGAAGAAAAUUAAUUUUCUUAAGUAAACUUCACCUUUCAGUUUUCAUCUUAAAUGACUUGGAAUCCAGAAUUACUACACUAUAAAACUUCAUACUGGCUUCAUACACGUUAAACCUCAAAAUGAAAUCCUACUGGAAAUGAAAAUUAAAGGAAAUUUGUGCCGACCAAAAA
This is an RNA transcript of Odobenus rosmarus divergens (Pacific walrus), 1464 nucleotides long. It is a transcript of the gene named protein FAM92A1-like, with no coding region annotated. The record is from RefSeq and is a predicted model, not a curated record. Lineage: Eukaryota; Metazoa; Chordata; Mammalia; Carnivora; Odobenidae. The transcript has 4 exons.